UUUCGUUUCGUGGUUGGUGGUUGGUGGUGGUGUAGGUGUAGUUGUUGUUGAUCGAGAGCGAGCGAGCGAGCGUACGUAGGAGCGAGGCGAGGCGAGGCGAACGAGGCGAGUCGAGGCGGGGCAGGUGACAGACACAUGUUGUGCAUAGGGCGUAUAAUUUGGUUUUUCGUUGUUUUGUUGUCGGAUUGCAAGUGGCCCCGAGAUGUGGUUGUUCAUGGCGCGAAGAUGAGAGAUCGGAUUGAUCGUUUGAAUAUAUAUGGAAAUAAAAAGUAUACAAAAAUUAAAAAAUAAAAACAAAUUAU
Drosophila pseudoobscura is the source of this 302-nucleotide long non-coding RNA. RefSeq lists it as uncharacterized. Lineage: Eukaryota; Metazoa; Arthropoda; Insecta; Diptera; Drosophilidae. The record is from RefSeq and is a predicted model, not a curated record. The transcript is spliced from 2 exons.